This 247-nucleotide ribosomal RNA is filed under the name uncultured bacterium. RNAcentral's name for it is "partial 16S ribosomal RNA". The record is from RNAcentral.
CUCGUCGUUUAACAAAGUUGAUCAUGGCUCAAGUAGAACUCAGGCGGAUGGCCUAACACAUAGCAAGUACGAACGGCAGCACAGAGGAGCUUAGCUCCUUGGGUAGGCGAGUAGGCGGACGGGUAGAGAGAAUACAUACUGAGAAUACUAACUAUAUAUUCAGUAGAGGAGCGAUAAACGUAGGAGAGAAAUCUAUAACUGCUAAAUAAACCUGCAUAACGAACCUAACGAGGUAGAAAAGCAGAGG